CCCUGACUAGCUCAGUUGGUAGAGCAUGAGACUCAUAAUCUCAGGGUAGUGGGUUUGUGUCCCAUGUUGGGUC
This 73-nucleotide transfer RNA is filed under the name Lepisosteus oculatus (spotted gar). It matches the Rfam family "tRNA". From Rfam's summary of the family: Transfer RNA (tRNA) molecules are approximately 80 nucleotides in length. Lineage: Eukaryota; Metazoa; Chordata; Actinopteri; Semionotiformes; Lepisosteidae. The record is from Rfam by way of RNAcentral.